AGAAGAGUGACGCAAUGGAAGAGUGCUGGGCCGAUAACCCAGAGGUCCGUGGAUCAAAACCACGCUAUGCAA
Molecule: transfer RNA, 72 nt
Filed under: Dreissena polymorpha
Lineage: Eukaryota; Metazoa; Mollusca; Bivalvia; Myida; Dreissenidae
Rfam family: tRNA
About the family: Transfer RNA (tRNA) molecules are approximately 80 nucleotides in length. Their secondary structure includes four short double-helical elements and three loops (D, anti-codon, and T loops). Further hydrogen bonds mediate the characteristic L-shaped molecular structure. tRNAs have two regions of fundamental functional importance: the anti-codon, which is responsible for specific mRNA codon recognition, and the 3' end, to which the tRNAs corresponding amino acid is attached (by aminoacyl-tRNA synthetases). tRNAs cope with the degeneracy of the genetic code in two manners: having more than one tRNA (with a specific anti-codon) for a particular amino acid; and 'wobble' base-pairing, i.e. permitting non-standard base-pairing at the 3rd anti-codon position.
Source: Rfam by way of RNAcentral